GAUGAAGAACGUAGCGAAAUGCGAUAAGUAGUGUGAAUUGCAGAAUUCAGUGAAUCAUCGAAUCUUUGAACGCACAUUGCGCCCUUUGGUAUUCCAAAGGGCAUGCCUGUUCGAGCGUCAUUUGUACCCUCAAGCUUUGCUUGGUGUUGGGCGUCUUGACUCUAGCUUUGCUGGAGACUCGCCUUAAAGUAAUUGGCAGCCAGCCUACUGGUUUCGGAGCGCAGCACAAGUCGCACUCUCUAUCAGCAAAGGUCUAGCAUCCAUUAAGCCUUUUUUUCAACUUUUGACCUCGGAUCAGGUAGGGAUACCCGCUGAACUUAAGCAUAUCAAUAAGCGGAGGA
This 341-nucleotide unclassified non-coding RNA is filed under the name soil metagenome. RNAcentral describes it as "partial contains 5.8S ribosomal RNA, internal transcribed spacer 2, and large subunit ribosomal RNA". The stretch from base 1 to 120 matches the Rfam family "5.8S ribosomal RNA", at positions 35 to 154 of the family's 154-position model. The record is from RNAcentral.